This 115-nucleotide ribosomal RNA is filed under the name Candidatus Aenigmatarchaeota archaeon. Lineage: Archaea; Nanobdellati; Candidatus Aenigmatarchaeota. The record is from RNAcentral.
GUUGGCGACCAAGGCGGAGAGGGCACACCCAGAUCCAUUCCGAACCUGGAAGUUAAGCUCUCCAGCGAUAUGGCAAGUAAUGGCGAAAGCUGUGAACGCCAGGACGUUGCUGACC